GGACGAACGCUGGCGGCGUGCCUAAUACAUGCAAGUCGAACGAGCUCUCCUAAAUUGAUUUUAUGCUUGCAUAAAUGAUUUUUAGAUUCGGAGCGAGUGGCGAACUGGUGAGUAACACGUGGGUAACCUGCCCCGAAGCGGGGGAUAACAUUUGGAAACAAAUGCUAAUACCGCAUAAUUAGUUGGAACCGCAUGGUUCCAACUUGAAAGAUGGCUCUGCUAUCACUUUGGGAUGGACCCGCGCCGUAUUAGUUAGUUGGUGAGAUAAAAGCCCACCAAGACGAUGAUACGUAGCCGACCUGAGAGGGUAAUCGGCCACAUUGGGACUGAGACACGGCCCAGACUCCUACGGGAGGCAGCAGUAGGGAAUCUUCCACAAUGGACGAAAGUCUGAUGGAGCAACGCCGCGUGAGUGAUGAAGGUUUUCGGAUCGUAAAACUCUGUUGUUAAAGAAGAACAAGUGUUAGAGUAACUGUUAACACUUUGACGGUAUUUAACCAGAAAGCCACGGCUAACUACGUGCCAGCAGCCGCGGUAAUACGUAGGUGGCAAGCGUUGUCCGGAUUUAUUGGGCGUAAAGCGAGCGCAGGCGGUUUUGUAAGUCUGCUGUGAAAGCCCUCAGCUCAACUGAGGAAAGUGCAGUGGAAACUACAAAACUUGAGUACAGAAGAGGAAAGUGGAACUCCAUGUGUAGCGGUGAAAUGCGUAGAUAUAUGGGAAGAACACCAGUGGCGAAGGCGGCUUUUCUGGUCUGUUACUGACGCUGAGGCUCGAAAGCAUGGGUAGCGAACAGGAUUAGAUACCCUGGUAGUCCAUGCCGUAAACGAUGAAUACUAGGUGUUGGAGGGUUUCCGCCCUUCAGUGCCGCAGCUAACGCAUUAAGUAUUCCGCCUGGGGAGUACGACCGCAAGGUUGAAACUCAAAGGAAUUGACGGGGGCCCGCACAAGUGGUGGAGCAUGUGGUUUAAUUCGAUGCUACGCGAAGAACCUUACCAGCUCUUGACAUCUUCUGCCAACCCAAGAGAUUGGGCGUUCCCUUCGGGGACAGAAUGACAGGUGGUGCAUGGUUGUCGUCAGCUCGUGUCGUGAGAUGUUGGGUUAAGUCCCGCAACGAGCGCAACCCUUAUUAUUAGUUGCCAGCAUUUAGUUGGGCACUCUAGUGAGACUGCCGGUGAUAAACCGGAGGAAGGUGGGGACGACGUCAAAUCAUCAUGCCCCUUAUGAGCUGGGCUACACACGUGCUACAAUGGAUGGUACAACGAGUCGCGAAACCGCGAGGUCAAGCUAAUCUCUUAAAGCCAUUCUCAGUUCGGAUUGCAGGCUGCAACUCGCCUGCAUGAAGUUGGAAUCACUAGUAAUCGUGGAUCAGCAUGCCACGGUGAAUACGUUCCCGGGCCUUGUACACACCGCC
This 1411-nucleotide ribosomal RNA is filed under the name uncultured Bacilli bacterium. RNAcentral's name for it is "bacterial SSU rRNA". It matches the Rfam family "Bacterial small subunit ribosomal RNA", at positions 27 to 1394 of the family's 1533-position model. Lineage: Bacteria; Bacillati; Bacillota; Bacilli. The record is from RNAcentral.